CGGAGGAAAAGAAACCAACAGGGAUUGCCCUAGUAACGGCGAGUGAAGCGGCAACAGCUCAAAUUUGAAAUCUGGCUUUCGGGCCCGAGUUGUAAUUUGUAGAGGAUGAUUUUGAUGCGGUGCCUUCCGAGUUCCCUGGAACGGGACGCCAUAGAGGGUGAGAGCCCCGUCUGGUUGGAUGCCAAAUCUCUGUAAAUCUCCUUCGACGAGUCGAGUAGUUUGGGAAUGCUGCUCUAAAUGGGAGGUAUAUGUCUUCUAAAGCUAAAUACCGGCCAGAGACCGAUAGCGCACAAGUAGAGUGAUCGAAAGAUGAAAAGCACUUUGAAAAGAGAGUUAAAAAGUACGUGAAAUUGUUGAAAGGGAAGCGUUUAUGACCAGACUUGGGCUUGGUUAAUCAUCUGGGGUUCUCUCCAGUGCACUUUUCCAGUCCAGGCCAGCAUCAGUUUUCGCCGGGGGAUAAAGGCUUCGGGAAUGUGGCUCCCCUCGGGGAGUGUUAUAGCCCGUUGUGUAAUACCCUGGUGGGGACUGAGGUUCGCGCUUCUGCAAGGAUGCUGGCGUAAUGGUCAUCAACGACCCGUCUUGAAACACGGACCA
RNAcentral lists this ribosomal RNA (594 nucleotides) under Fusarium graminearum. Its description in RNAcentral is "partial large subunit ribosomal RNA". It matches the Rfam family "Eukaryotic large subunit ribosomal RNA", at positions 51 to 668 of the family's 3401-position model. Lineage: Eukaryota; Fungi; Ascomycota; Sordariomycetes; Hypocreales; Nectriaceae. The record is from RNAcentral.